Molecule: non-coding RNA, 136 nt
Organism: Triticum aestivum (bread wheat)
Lineage: Eukaryota; Viridiplantae; Streptophyta; Magnoliopsida; Poales; Poaceae
Source: Rfam
CACAUACUCCCUCUGUCCGGAAAUACUUGUCAUCAAAAUGAAAAAAAAAGAGAUGUAUCUAAAACAAAAAUACAUCUACAUACAUCCCCUUUUAUUCAUUUUGAUGACAAGUAUUUACGGACGGAGGAAGUAUAAG